AUUGAACGCUGGCGGCAGGCCUAACACAUGCAAGUCGAACGAGUUGCGGACGGGUGAGUAAUGUCUGGGCAACUGCCUGAUGGAGGGGGAUAACUACUGGAAACGGUAGCUAAUACCGCAUACCAUCAGAUGUGCCCAUAUGGGAUUAGCGAGUGGGUGGGGUAACGGCUCACCAAGGCGACGAUCCCUAGCUGGUCUGAGAGGAUUACCAGCCACACUGGAACUGAGACACGGUCCAGACUCCUCCGGGAGGCAGCAGUGGGGAAUAUUGCACAAUGGGCGCAAGCCUGAUGCAGCCAUGCCGCGUGUAUGAAGAAGGCCUUAGGGUUGUAAAGUACUUUCAGCGGGGAGGCGUUACCCGCAGAAGAAGCACCGGCUAACUCCGUGCCAGCAGCCGCGGUAAUAC
Molecule: ribosomal RNA, 406 nt
Filed under: uncultured bacterium
Lineage: Bacteria
Description: partial 16S ribosomal RNA
Rfam family: Bacterial small subunit ribosomal RNA
Source: RNAcentral